CCUACGGGAGGCAGCAGUAGGGAAUCUUCCACAAUGGGCGAAAGCCUGAUGGAGCAACGCCGCGUGGGUGAAGAAGGUCUUCGGAUCGUAAAACCCUGUUGUUAGAGAAGAAAGUGCGUGAGAGUAACUGUUCACGUUUCGACGGUAUCUAACCAGAAAGCCACGGCUAACUACGUGCCAGCAGCCGCGGUAAUACGUAGGUGGCAAGCGUUAUCCGGAUUUAUUGGGCGUAAAGGGAACGCAGGCGGUCUUUUAAGUCUGAUGUGAAAGCUUUCGGCUUAACCGGAGUAGUGCAUUGGAAACUGGGAGACUUGAGUGCAGAAGAGGAGAGUGGAACUCCAAGUGUAGCGGUGAAAUGCGUAGAUAUAAGGAAGAACACCAGUGGCGAAAGCGGCUCUCUGGUCUGUAACUGACGCUGAGGUUCGAAAGCGUGGGUAGCAAACAGGAUUAGAUACCCUAGUAGUC
RNAcentral lists this ribosomal RNA (465 nucleotides) under uncultured bacterium. RNAcentral describes it as "partial 16S ribosomal RNA". It matches the Rfam family "Bacterial small subunit ribosomal RNA", at positions 338 to 795 of the family's 1533-position model. The record is from RNAcentral.